Molecule: ribosomal RNA, 443 nt
Filed under: uncultured bacterium
Lineage: Bacteria
Description: bacterial SSU rRNA
Rfam family: Bacterial small subunit ribosomal RNA
Source: RNAcentral
UAACGCGAAGAACCUUACCUGGGUUUGACAUACGCCGGAAGCCUCUAGAGAUAGAGGUCUCUUUGAUACUGGUGUACAGGUGGUGCAUGGCUGUCGUCAGCUCGUGUCGUGAGAUGUUGGGUUAAGUCCCGCAACGAGCGCAACCCUCGUUCCAUGUUGCCAGCAGCGCCUUCGGGUGGCUGGGGACUCAUGGGAGACUGCCGGGGUCAACUCGGAGGAAGGUGGGGAUGACGUCAAGUCAUCAUGCCCCUUAUGUCCAGGGCUUCACGCAUGCUACAAUGGCCGGUACAAAGGGCUGCGAUCCCGUGAGGGGGAGCGAAUCCCAAAAAGCCGGUCUCAGUUCGGAUUGGGGUCUGCAACUCGACCCCAUGAAGUCGGAGUCGCUAGUAAUCGCAGAUCAGCAACGCUGCGGUGAAUGCGUUCCCGGGUCUUGUACACACCGA